GCCCCCGUAGCUCAGCUGGAUAGAGCGAGAGACUUCUAAUCUCUGGGCCGCAGGUUCGAGUCCUGCCGGGGGCG
RNAcentral lists this transfer RNA (74 nucleotides) under Nocardioides hwasunensis. RNAcentral describes it as "tRNA-Arg". It matches the Rfam family "tRNA". From Rfam's summary of the family: Transfer RNA (tRNA) molecules are approximately 80 nucleotides in length. Their secondary structure includes four short double-helical elements and three loops (D, anti-codon, and T loops). The record is from RNAcentral. Lineage: Bacteria; Bacillati; Actinomycetota; Actinomycetes; Propionibacteriales; Nocardioidaceae.